CCCUCCAUAAGUAUUUUUAGAGCAGUGUUCAGUGGUGCUAAAUUAACCACAGGACUCUGCGUCACCACCUGCCUCUCCCAGAACAGUCGGUGUGUAAGACAGAGGUGCUAGGACAUCUGUGAAGUGAUGGCCCACUUCCCUGCCUUCUGGGUCUCCGGCAACCUCGUCCUUCUGCCGCAGGAGUGUUUCACCGCGCACAGAGAUGUCAAGGCUGAUCCGCCACGCAGCGUGCGUCCGACCACACACCCCUCCAAGGCUGAGUGACGCCGCGAGGCAUCGACCGGUCGACAGUAAAAGGUACGCGGAAACACAACGGAUUUGGAGAAUCCAGGACCAGAGGAAACAGGCAAGCCAAACCUUUCUAAACCCAAGAAUGUGAUGGUGCUGUCCCAGGGUACAGAAAGACGUGAACAAAUGAAGCAGACCCAAGAGUCCGAUGUGAGCCCUGGUGAGUCCAUGGGCUCUGAGAACAUCCCAAUAAUCCAAUAUGGGGAUCAUCGAGCUUCAACACACAACGCUGGGAUAGCCAGAUGCCCACAGACAAGACAAAGAAGCUAGAUCAUUUCUCACAGAACUUACCAAGAUUAGCUCAAAGGCUGGGGGACCGACAGCGUGGUGGGUAAGCAAGCACAAAGACUUGCAUUUGAAACCCUAGCAGCCACGUUAAAAAAAAAAAAAGGCAGACAUGGUAUGAUUCUAUUAUAUGAAACAUCCAGAUUAGCAAAUCGAAAGAGAGAAAACAGACCCGAGGUUGCUGUGGCCCAGGCGGCCAAUGGAUAUGGCUAGCUGGCAUGGGGUUUCUCUUCGGGGAGGUGUGAAGUUUUGGAAUCAGACACAGCCACACAGUUGCAGGCAUGGACCGCGUACCAUGGAAGUAUUCUCACGCUGCAUGGAUUAUCUCCCACGGAGGUCCACUGGCCCCAUCUCCCAGGUUACCUGAACUAAGCUAACCUCAGGAAAUGCUUUUUCUAUUCUGCAGAGCCUUCUGACUAUCCCCCCGACCUCAGGACAACGGGCAUGGUGCCCAUAUGUGCUUUCUGCUGAUAGAGACGAGGCAGCCACACUGAACCAGCACUGUGUGGGUUGAUAGCCAGGGCAGGAGGCAGAGGGGAUCAGCCACUGGGGAGAAGAGGUCCUGGGGUGGAGAGCUGAGAGUCCCUGGGAUUAAUAUAUGAGAUCAUCAAGGCAUAAGGAAAGGCAACAGUCCCUUGAAUCUGCCCUAAUGUGAGACACGGCCCGGGGAGGACCAGAAACUUGGCUUGCUGAUGAGUUACUGAGUUCGGCUCCCCUCCUGGUGUCCUGUGGAAACGACUCCAAACUGCAACCUGGCGGGGCGAGGGGAACCUGCGCAAUUCGGAGCACCUCCCACGGGACCCACAUUUUGGAAAAGGGACACUUAAGGGAGAAGCUGGUCUGCUCAGCUUCUCUGACACUGUGCGCUCCCAACAGGCAGCAGGAGAGAAGAAGAGCUACAGGUUGGAUUACUCAGAAGUUUCCGAACACCCAGAUAAAACAACUCCACCAGGAACCUGAGCUCCUGGUGACUGCACUCUGGGGCCACAGGUAUUUCUGCCAAGCCAGGUCCUCUCUGUAAGCCUUGCCUUCCAAAUGGCCUAUGAAAGGGGCACCUGACCCACCCAGGUGCUCUUGGGCGAGACAAAAGGAUUGCUUAAAGGAGUGAGAGUGGAGACAACUGGAAUGUUCUCUGAAGUUCCAGCCUCUGAUU
Molecule: non-coding RNA, 1726 nt
Organism: Myodes glareolus (Bank vole)
Lineage: Eukaryota; Metazoa; Chordata; Mammalia; Rodentia; Cricetidae
Source: RefSeq, a predicted model, not a curated record